Molecule: transfer RNA, 81 nt
Filed under: Felis catus (domestic cat)
Lineage: Eukaryota; Metazoa; Chordata; Mammalia; Carnivora; Felidae
Rfam family: tRNA
About the family: Transfer RNA (tRNA) molecules are approximately 80 nucleotides in length. Their secondary structure includes four short double-helical elements and three loops (D, anti-codon, and T loops).
Source: Rfam by way of RNAcentral
GCCUGGGUGGCUCAGUAGGUUAAGCGUCCGACUUUGACUCAGUUGUCUCACAGUUCAUGGGUUCGAGCCCCAUGUCGGGCU